This is an RNA transcript of Homo sapiens (human), 5606 nucleotides long. It is a transcript of the gene named homeobox D11, with no coding region annotated. The record is from RefSeq and is marked reviewed. The transcript is spliced from 3 exons. Lineage: Eukaryota; Metazoa; Chordata; Mammalia; Primates; Hominidae.
CUCUUGUGCAAUCGAUGGCUCAGGUUGGCUGCGCGGGGAGCGGCCAGAGGCUCGCUGGCGCGCACGCCGCGGAGUCAUGAACGACUUUGACGAGUGCGGCCAGAGCGCAGCCAGCAUGUACCUGCCGGGCUGCGCCUACUAUGUGGCCCCGUCUGACUUCGCUAGCAAGCCUUCGUUCCUUUCCCAACCGUCGUCCUGCCAGAUGACUUUCCCCUACUCUUCCAACCUGGCUCCGCACGUCCAGCCCGUGCGCGAAGUGGCCUUCCGCGACUACGGCCUGGAGCGCGCCAAGUGGCCGUACCGCGGCGGCGGCGGCGGCGGCAGCGCGGGGGGCGGCAGCAGCGGGGGCGGCCCCGGCGGGGGCGGCGGCGGCGCGGGGGGCUACGCUCCCUACUACGCGGCGGCGGCGGCGGCGGCUGCGGCGGCCGCGGCGGCCGAGGAGGCGGCCAUGCAACGCGAGCUUCUCCCGCCCGCGGGCCGCCGGCCGGACGUGCUCUUCAAGGCGCCUGAGCCGGUGUGCGCUGCGCCGGGGCCGCCGCACGGCCCCGCGGGCGCCGCCUCCAACUUCUACAGCGCGGUGGGCCGCAAUGGCAUCUUGCCACAGGGCUUCGACCAGUUCUACGAGGCAGCGCCCGGGCCCCCGUUCGCCGGGCCGCAGCCCCCGCCGCCACCCGCGCCGCCACAGCCCGAGGGCGCAGCCGACAAGGGCGACCCCAGGACCGGGGCUGGUGGCGGCGGGGGCAGUCCCUGCACCAAGGCGACCCCUGGCUCGGAGCCCAAGGGGGCAGCAGAAGGCAGCGGUGGCGACGGCGAGGGCCCCCCGGGAGAGGCGGGGGCCGAGAAGAGCAGCAGCGCAGUUGCCCCCCAGCGGUCCCGGAAAAAGCGCUGUCCCUAUACCAAGUACCAGAUCCGCGAACUGGAACGCGAGUUUUUCUUUAACGUGUACAUAAACAAAGAGAAAAGACUUCAACUCUCUCGGAUGCUCAACCUCACUGACCGGCAAGUCAAAAUCUGGUUCCAGAAUCGCAGGAUGAAAGAAAAGAAACUGAACAGAGACCGUCUGCAGUAUUUCACUGGAAACCCCUUAUUUUGAGAGCUCCAGGAAGCGCCCUCACCCCAGCCCCACUCACCCACCCUCCUUCCCACCAGCCUGCUCUCCGCAGGCCCACUGUCCUUGGGUUUAAUGACGUCUCUUCUCUGUGGAACUUCACGAUUCCUUCCCACGGUCAACUCGGGACCUCCCAGCGACCACUGCAGCCUGCGGACGAGGCCGGGACUUGGCCGAGCGGAUCCUAAUAAGGGGAAAAUGGGGCCUGGAGAUCCACACGAGGGCGCGCUCACGUUCCAGAAGCCGCGUUUGACCAAGAGGCCGCGGUACCUUGUCUGUCCAACACUGGAUUCUAAUAGGCGACCUCAACCCCUUAGAAACAGGCGGCAGCUAAGGUGUUUGCUAGUUUAUUUGUUCUAAGCAGCCAUGAGGUGUGAGAAGUUGUAUAGAGACAGAAAACGGAGCAACUAGAUUCACGAAACAGCCUAAUCUUUGUCUCUUUAAAGACAAAGCUGUUGCAAAAGAAUACCUUGGUAUAACCAGAUGGUGUGGAGCAGAGUUUUAAAAGAUAAAUGUAUGCAUUUUGAAAGAUACCAUAGCCACUGCUGGUUAAUUAAAUUAGGGAAAAUCAGUUUUCUUGGUUUCAGUGUGGAGAGCCUUGUCUAGGGUUGGACACCCCCUACUUAACAUCCCCCUCCCCCCCGCAAAAAAAAAAAAAAAAAAAAAAACCUUCAUCGGUUUUACCCCCUCUCAGACCUCCUGGGAUGAUUAAAAGGCUUUUGUUUAUAACAGAUCAGGGAGCGGGCCACUUAGCCAAAUGUCUCUCAGAAAAAAAUAAGACGCAUGGGGGACUGGGAGAAUCGUUCUGGGAGCCCGCGGCCGUGCCUGGAGUGCGCGGCUACCAGUGGCGACCGAGUGGCGCCGGCAGGACUGUGAGUUGGUGUGCCCAGGCCGGGCUGGGCUGAUGCGGACACGGGAGGCAGCAGGCACUCGGGGGAAACGUUUAUACUUCAAGGCGUUGUAAAACGGGGAAUGUAUUUGAAGCAAACGGGCUUUGCGUUUGACAGAAAACUGGCCACCCUUCCAAGCUGCACGCCGGUCUUGAGCAGAGUUGAAUUGUGGCUCUCAGAAGCAGUGCAUUCGUUGCGUGCCCUCCUUCCUCCAGCAAAGCCCCUGACCUUGGGGAGGGCCUGUGUCCCCGUUCGGAGUUCACAAGAGAGGAGACAGGGCUCCCCGACAUUGGCCUCUCUAAGGGAGGAUGACUGCCCCCUUUCCCUCCCCGAAGUUCAUUGUGAAGAGCCUGCAACCCCCAGAAUUAGCGCUGGCCUUGUUGGCCCUCCAAGCCCUGGACCAAAGGCCCUGGGGCCUGCCGCUUGCCCCUCUCCCGGAGCUGGCCUCAGCUUUGGUGGGGAGGCCGGGGCUCCAGUGAGCCCCCCGGCGAGGCUCCAACGAGUGGCGUGGGUGUUCCCCGCAGGCAACCUUGGCUCCACUAGUCUGACCGCCGGUCCACCUUGUCUAUAGUGACGCUACCUUUCCCGAGGCUGAACGGGGUCCUCGGUCUAUGUGAAGUGAGAGCUGCCCUCCCUAAAUGUCGUUGUCCUCUCAAGGCGGCCCCAGCGGCUGCACAUCUGGCUGUGCGGGGGCCCCUUGGACUUGGCUGGCAGCCGCCUGCGAAACACCGCUUCUCAGCGGUCUGCAGUUCCUUUCCUCCCUGCGCCCAAGAUGGGCCUGACAAGGGCCCGGGAUCAGACCAGAACCUCUGGGGGCUGAAGACCUCUCCCCACCCCCAUCUUACAAAGUGUGUGGGGCUUGCGGAGAGUGGCCUUGGAUCCUAAGGCGCCAAGGUCUCAGACUCUGAAGUGGAAGGGAAAUGCGCGAAGUAGGAGUCUUUUGUGUCUGUGCAGAAGGAGGUUCUCCGGCCGCCGGCCCUUGUUGCACGUCUGGAUAGACCCCUUAUUGCAUUGGUGGUAGACUCCCCAUUUGCCCCCUAGAUUUCCUUUCACCUUGGCUUGGAGGUGCACAGUGCAACCCGGAGGAGCGCCCGGGGAAGACAGCUUUUAAUCGACUCCAUCCGCUCUGUCCCCAAAGAGUGACACAGCCCAGAGGUGGCUCAGAACCCUAAUCCGGGGUGACCCUAAGAGCCCACAGGUCCACUCAGGCCCAGGGCUUCAACUUUUCUUCCAGGAGACAAGAGUGCAGAUGCAAGCCACUUUUUGAUUACAAAUGCUAAUUUCUUGUUCAAGCUGUUCUUUUAAUUUUUCCCUGGAAAGAACUGUGGCAGGGAGAAGGGCGUCUUGGUACAAAUAUGGGUAUUCAUCUCCUUUAUGGUGCAAUAUUGAUUUAUUAUUAAUGGUAACUGCUCCAACUGAUCUAAAGAUGAUGGAAAACAUCAGCUACAUUAAAUACUCAUAAGCAAAAUAAAGGCUGGCCUGUAGAGCACGGCCUUUUUAUUCCAUUUGUCUCACCUCAGCCUUAGAGUCUUAGGCACACUUUCCAUCCUUUGGGGCUCGGAUCAUUCUUUUGUAUUAUUUCUAUCUUGCUCAAUUUUUUAAUGAUAAAAUAUCUCAAAAUAUUGACAGUCUCUUGUCUCAAGGAGCGGGUCUGAAAGCAGAAAUUUUAAAGAUAAAAAAUAGAAUUUUGUGAGAACAGAUUCAAAAUUAUGUCUGAUAUACACAUUUUUGUCUGUGAGUAAAAACCUAUUUAACUCUAACCAAUAAGGGAGUGACUUUGAGCUCAAAGCCACUGAAAGCUGAAAUGGAAAGGUCCCCAAAUUCUGAAGACACAUCCUGCCUAUUCUGGCUCACUGCAGACCUACCCGCCCGCAAGGAAUUGCUUGUUUUUAGCCUGUAUGUUUUCUUCAUGUAUAAAUAAAGAUUAUGAAAGGGCAUUUGAUGGGCAUAAAAUUCCCGAUUAGAUUAAACAGUCUUGCCUUUCUUAGGGUAGGGAAAAUUGGGCAAACAAGUUCCCAGCAGCUCUUCUGGCCAAGAGGCAAAAGGGCGACACUCGAUACUGCUGGAGCGCCAAGCUAGUGUCAGGGCGCCUGCGGCAAGCGAGUGCAGCGGGCACUUCAUUCAGCUUUGGGCACGCUUAGCCCUGGCUUGAAACAAGAUCUCUACUAUGUGAGAAAGCAAAUUUCAGGGCGCUGGUCAGUGGCUGUUAGCUUUGAACAGUACCUUAGCAACCUAGAGUCAAAAGUUAUGUUUUGUCUUGUUUUGUUUUUCCGGCCAUCCUCAACCCCCACCCCCAAGCUCGAAAACAGCCACCCCUGUGGAAAGGUAAUGUUUAAACCCCAGGCUAUGCUGGGAUGCUGCAGCCAAAGCAGUUAGAGGCGCCAGGCUUUUAACCUGACAAUGAUGUUGUAUUUGAACAGCUGCGUAAAGGUUUAAAAGGUCUGUCUCAUUGCCACCGCGGAGUUUUUUAAAAGAGGUUAUUGUUUGGGCGAGAGCACCGAGAGGGAACAGGCGAAAGGGUCCCAAGGCCGAAAAUAAUGUUCAACGCUUGUUUCAACCAGGCCAGGGGAGAUUCCUUUUUGGGAAGAGGGACAAAGGGUUUUUUGGGAAAGGUUUUUGUAAAGGAGCGGGCGGGCUACUAGGUCCCCCAGAAUGCUGAGGCGCUUUAAUGAACCUCAGGCCCCAAAGAAAUGUUCUAUUGAGGUGGAAACCCAAUUUACCCACAAGUUCAGUCUCUGGGCCUGAAAUCCAAGGCCAGCCCAUGCCCCAGCGAGUACGGGGAAAAGAGAACACAGAUGCCCUCCCGGACUGAGAACUGGUUCAUGGUCAGAGUUUCUGGGACCGCUUUAGUUUCUUGGCUGGCAGGAAGGGAACCUGGCAGGCCGAAGGACGGCUCCAAGCCCUGGCCGGCCCCUCACUCAGGGCAAGUCUUUGGAAAUCAAGGUUAAAGCUCCCCGCUGCUGCCCCGAGGCCCGGGCUUCCGCAGGGCGGCUCACCCGCCUGCAGCAAGAGAGGGAGGGAGGAAGUUGUUGAAGUUUCUCAUAAAACUCUGAGUUUCCAUGGUGGUAGUGGUGGUAGUGGUGGUAGUGGUGGUAGUGGUGGUUCUUUAAUGAGCCGGACCACAACCCCAGACCAUAUCCUCUUCAUAGAAGUUUCCCUCACCAAAGGAAACAGAGAACUAAGAUUCCCACCUCCUUCCCCUCCCUUACCCAAGCAAAGCCUUGUCAAAUAAUUUCAGAAAUUGUCCAAAACUGUAAAACUCAACUUCUGACAAAAGUAUAGCUUUUAAUAUUUGACAAUUUGUAUUAAAACAAAAAUGACCUUCUUGGUUAGCAGCGAAGGGAAAAAAAUCAAUAGUAUAAUUUUCAAUAAUUCAUAAAGCGAACGCCAUUAUGGUAAAUUUAACUAUUAAUCUUAUCCUUUACAAAGUCUCGAUUGAUUUGUUAAUAAAGUAUCUUCCCGUGUGUGGCAACAGCGGGCAUAACUCUUUAAAAACCUUCAGAAGCAAGAAAAUUACCAAGUAGCCCAAGAAUGUAGAUGAGAAUUUUAUUGAUCGCCCUGAUUCUUCUUAAUAUGUAUUAAUAAAUUCCACAACCUUUUGUACCUUG